CACAGAUAUUUAAUGGCAUUAUCUUUUUGAAUGAGAUGUGCCUGUCAUCACAUUUGGCGGGGGUUCACAUGCUCAAUAUCUAGUUGUAUUUGUUUUGUUUUGUGAACUAUCAAUUUUAUCUUAUGAAUUUGAAUGUGCCUUUAGUAUUUGUUUGUAAUUUGUUUCAUUUUCUAUAAGAUUAUUUUCAUGACACAGGCUCACCUUCAUUG
Molecule: long non-coding RNA, 209 nt
Organism: Mytilus trossulus (common blue mussel)
Lineage: Eukaryota; Metazoa; Mollusca; Bivalvia; Mytilida; Mytilidae
Exons: 2
Source: RefSeq, a predicted model, not a curated record